CUUACAAGGCCGUUGGGUCUCUGGAUCCCAGUGCUGACCUGUCCAGCCAAAGAGGGAAAGUCUUCAAACUAAGGAAUGAAACGCAUCACCUCUUUGUAGGAUUGUACCCAGGGACAACGUAUUCAUUCACCAUCAAGGCCAGCACAGUGAAGGGCUUUGGGCCACCCAUCACAACACGGAUUGCAACUAAGAUUUCAGCACCAUCAAUGCCAGAGUACGACACGGACUCGCCCUUGAACGAGACAGACACCACCAUCACUGUCAUGCUGAAGCCUGCUCAGUCCCGGGGAGCCCCUGUCAGGUCAUUUGUUCCAAAUCUGGAUCAAGCCAGGCUCCUCGCAUCUCAGUGUUACAAGUCAGCUGCUGCCCCCAGCUUGUUGCAGAGAGAGGAGGUGAUGGAGGUUGGCGGAGUCCCUCUGGUUUAGUGGGAUGCCACCAGCUGUAGGUGGGCAGUUUCCAUUUCCAGAGCGGAGGACUCAGGGGAAGGAAGCUAUAUGGAUGGAACUUGUGAAACAGGAUGAUGGCCUUGUAGAAAACAUCUGUGACUAAUUUUGUGACUAAUCCUGGGCUGGAUCGCAUUCUUACUGGCUCUCCAGGACUGAAAUGGGGCACCUAGCUGCAGAUCUCUCUCUGGCUGCUGAAACGUGACUUAGAGGCCUGUACUCCACUGCUGUCUUUUGCUUUGGUAAACGUGCACGUGUUGAAAGGCAUCAGCACAAGAGAACAAACUGCCUCUCAGAGACAGCGCUGCCUUACCUGAAGCUGGCAGGAAUGCCAGGCACUCCUCCAUCCUCCGUUCUCUUCAGCUGAGCAUGUAAAUUAAACUGCUUAUGAUAAAAUUAGCUGUAGUUUACCUAGGAGGAUCUGGGCUGCUCUGUAAAAUACCCAGCAGCCGUUACCUUCCUGUAGGCUCUUUAGGAUUUCCCUUGAGUUUUCACAAGACACUUCUUUUUUUCCUCUGAGUGGUAUUUUAAAAACAAAUAAUUGCUUCUCUCAGAAGUGUAUGGGCUUUGUACAUCCCACGGAUGAGUUCCUAGUGCUUUUUGAAGGCGUCUCACUAAGUGUUCAGGAGCAGAUUACUCACGUGUAAACUUGUUUAAUUUAAUGAAGUAUCCUACCCCAAUUAGUGCUCCAUCUCUGUCACAGCUUUUUCCCAAGUUGCAUUGUUAGUUUAAAGCAAAAUAGCUAUUUUUUAAAAACUGAGCACCACCCCCUUUCUAGUUGUUCUGAGAAGCAGGCUUCAACAUUUCCCUUUUAAUCCCUGGUACUCCAUAUGAACGAAUUUAGGAGCCUAUUUUCUGAGUCCUUUAGGGAUAUUGUUGUGCUGGAAAAUGGCAGUAAAAUCACAGAGCUCUGCUUUGUUUUAUUUCUUUAUAUGGGGGAACGUUCCUGUAUCUCGUUUUACCACCUGCUGUCUUAAGAGUGUUGCUAUUUCGUCUUUUUAUUGAAAGUCUUGCGAUUUUUCUUGAAGCCAAUUUGCUAUACUUCAACCUCUUUUAGAGAACAGUGUC
Molecule: non-coding RNA, 1511 nt
Organism: Meleagris gallopavo (turkey)
Lineage: Eukaryota; Metazoa; Chordata; Aves; Galliformes; Phasianidae
Source: RefSeq, a predicted model, not a curated record